GACGAACGCUGGUGGCGUGCUUAACACAUGCAAGUCGAACGGAAAGGCCCUGCUUUUGUGGGGUGCUCGAGUGGCGAACGGGUGAGUAACACGUGAGUAACCUGCCCUUGACUUUGGGAUAACUUCAGGAAACUGGGGCUAAUACCGGAUAGGAGCUCCUGCUGCAUGGUGGGGGUUGGAAAGUUUCGGCGGUUGGGGAUGGACUCGCGGCUUAUCGGCUUGUUGGUGGGGUAGUGGCUUACCAAGGCUUUGACGGGUAGCCGGCCUGAGAGGGUGACCGGCCACAUUGGGACUGAGAUACGGCCCAGACUCCUACGGGAGGCAGCAGUGGGGAAUAUUGCACAAUGGGCGGAAGCCUGAUGCAGCAACGCCGCGUGCGGGAUGACGGCCUUCGGGUUGUAAACCGCUUUCGCCUGUGACGAAGCGUGAGUGACGGUAAUGGGUAAAGAAGCACCGGCUAACUACGUG
RNAcentral lists this ribosomal RNA (468 nucleotides) under uncultured bacterium. RNAcentral describes it as "partial 16S ribosomal RNA". It matches the Rfam family "Bacterial small subunit ribosomal RNA", at positions 28 to 507 of the family's 1533-position model. The record is from RNAcentral.